Molecule: long non-coding RNA, 327 nt
Organism: Pieris brassicae (large cabbage white)
Lineage: Eukaryota; Metazoa; Arthropoda; Insecta; Lepidoptera; Pieridae
Exons: 3
Source: RefSeq, a predicted model, not a curated record
AAUUUAAUAUGGCGAAUUUAACGUUCAUUUGAGUGUAUUUUUUCAUCAGUUUAUUGAUAAUUGUUAGUUAUUUUAAUUUAAAUAUUUUGUAUCGUUGCUAGCUUAAUAUAAAAAUGUUUUAAAUUCUGUUUAACGUGAUAAAUACAAAAGAUGGUGAUUAUGCAAGAUCAAUGAAAAUCAGAUAGAAAAUAUAGUUAACAUCGCGUAGAAAAGAUAUAUGGAGAUUCACUAGGAAGGCAAAUAGAAGACACAUUGCCAGCGAAUAUACAAUGUUACUAAGAUAUUUUUAAACUAAUAUUGUAAAAGACAGUAAAUAUUUAUUUUGUA